Long non-coding RNA from Cervus elaphus (red deer), 174 nucleotides. RefSeq lists it as uncharacterized. The transcript is spliced from 3 exons. NCBI's taxonomy places the organism in Eukaryota, Metazoa, Chordata, Mammalia, Artiodactyla, Cervidae. The record is from RefSeq and is a predicted model, not a curated record.
CCCUGAUAGCUCAGAUGGUAAAGAAUCCACCUGCAAUGCAGGAGACCCUGGUUGAUUCCUGGGUCGGGAAGAUCCCCUGGAGAAGGGAAAGGCUACCCACUCCAGUAUUUCGGCCUAGAGAAUUACAUGGACUGCAUGCUGCAGUCCAUGGGGUCACAAAGAGUUGGACAUGAC